Notothenia coriiceps (black rockcod) is the source of this 6014-nucleotide long non-coding RNA. RefSeq lists it as uncharacterized. The transcript has 4 exons. NCBI's taxonomy places the organism in Eukaryota, Metazoa, Chordata, Actinopteri, Perciformes, Nototheniidae. The record is from RefSeq and is a predicted model, not a curated record.
CAGGUUUGGCAGUUCACCAGAUAAUCACAAUCACUGUGUCUCUCAUUAUGGUUAUCGCAGCCUUGAUCACAACACUCGUCCUUAAAAACUGCUGUGCGCAGUCGGGAAAUGGCCGCCACAAUAGCCAUCAGCGCAAGAUCCACCAGCAGGAAGAGAGCUGCCAAAACCUGACAGACUUCACCCCGGCCCGGGUGCCAAGCAAGGUGGACAUAUUCACUGCCUACAAUGACAGCCUGCAGUGCUCACAUGAGUGCGUCCGGACUGCCGUGCCAAUCUACACUGAUGAGAUGAUCCAGCAGACGCCUGUCUACAAGACUGCUUACAAUGGAAACAGGCCCUCCCCCACUGAAAGACAACUAAUUCCUGUGGCCUUCGUGUCAGAGAAAUGGUUUGAGAUCUCUUGUUGACAAGCUGAAGGCCUUCUUCACUUCCUCUGGGUGGAAGACACUUCCUGAAUUCACACUCUGGAUCCAGUUGGAAACACACAAAACAGCUUCUUUUGUAAAAUAGUGCGAUCACUCUUUGGACACUGGUGAAGAUAUUUAUUUUUCUAGAGAUGACAAGCAGAGCAGCAACAACGCUGCCACACAAUAUUUCCAGGAACGUACAGUCAUUUAGAUAUAGAUUAUAUAUAGGUAUAUUUACAGGAUGUGUGGGACUUUUGGACGUCACAGAUGUCUCAAGGACAACAUUUGACAUUUGAAAAAAAACCCAAGGAGCUUCUGUGGGUGGAAGGUGAACUGUAAUUCUGAACAAUGUGCCAAUAAUGCCACUAUGUGCCACAACCUGGAUAGAAGGAAGUUUCAACAACUGAUGGACUAAACAAAGAGCGCUAUAUUAACCCUGUAUCGACUCCAACUACUUUUUUUUUGUGUUUUAAAGAAAUGUGAAAGAUUAAAAAACGCUACAAAUGUAUUUGAAUAUGUUUUGAAAUAGUUUUAAGAUAUGUGUUGAUAAAGAGUCUAAAAAGAUAUUUAUAUGAAGCACUAUUCUAUUAGUUUGGGAAGAGAGGGGGGGAAAAAAGAAACGGUAUAUGCUUUAGCGAACAGUUGAUUUUAAAACAUGGUUUAUAUAGGUCCCAUUUUAAAAACAGAAUAGUUAUGUCUAUUUUUUUACACAGUAGAUUCAAACGGUGAAGGUCCCUAGCACCUGGGAUUCAGCGCUGUUAAUUAAAUACCCGAAUAGAGAUUAGAAGAAAGAAAAAGCAUAUGAAUACACCUCAUGCAAUCCAACCCAACACCCGCUCCAAUCGCUUAUUAUGUAAGAUUUGUACCUGAUUUGGCUUAAUGGAAAAACAGACAAAAGGGUUCUGUAGUAAAGGAACAAAUCCAAUAGCAGCAAAUUCACGAAUAGCUAGAGUAAGUACAGCCACAACAGACUGUAUAGAGCUGGGCAGGACAUUCAUACUGCCUCAGGUCUGUCUAGCUCUCUUGCACACUUUAUGUUGGUCUCAGUUUCAGCAGCUGUUCGGGUACAUUCUAAUGAACCGUUAUGAUUUAAAAGGGUGGAAGAGAUUCAAUUCAAGCCUGUAAAUUCAUGUGAUAAUUUGCAUUAAAGGGACAGAGAUUGAAAAAUGUAUCUUUCCACAGAGACUAAAUGAUUAUUCCCACGCAACCACCAAGAUUAACUUUUGAUACAUUAUUUUAUGAAGCCUAAAAAAGUCUGUAUUAAAGUCAGAAAGUCAAGAUGAACAUGAACCAAUUUGUAGUUGAUGGAACAUCCAGUUUUCAAAUGAGAGUGUCGAUCAGGAUCAAAUGAUCUACGACGUCGAUUUUAAACCCUAGCAAGGGAAGAAUUCCCUCGCCCAAAUGUGAGGUAGGGGCCAGUUACAUUUCUCCAAUCAGCACUUGAGGACAAUAUUUCUAGCAAAUCAGAAUUUGCUAUUACAGCCAAGAAGUUGUGGGUUGUGCACACAAAUAAAUGUAGGCUGUAGGAAGCAGAGCGCAAACACAAUACGAAUAAGUAGUACAUGUUGUCCUCUCAAUCUCAAAACACUCUGUCAGUGUAUUACUGAAGUAAGGGGAUUAUGACAAGCCAAUCAGCUGCCGCCAAAUUGCUUUAAACUAUCUCCUAUGUCAAGGUUAGGGGAACCCUUGGUCAGGAAAGACAGUAAAUCGCUCCUGAGAGCUUUCCACCCCCAAUAAUUGUAUUAUCAACCUCCAGCUCUGACAGACCGAUUACCUUUGUGCUCCAAAAGCUCUUGAGGAAACCACCUUUGAAUCUAUCUUUCAUUGUGCUGUGGGUUUGUACAAAGCACAAAUACAAUUCAGAAAUUGUAAACGUUUCUUGGCUGCAGACAGCAAUAUGUACUGAUUAAAGCGGUGGGUUUUAUUUCCGCGACGACAGCGGAUCUCCCGUAAUUCGCUUCGGUUGUUUCAAGGCUCACCUCCUUAAAGAAUUCAAGGUUGUCCCGGAAGGAUCAGUAUCGGUAAAUGUGAGCCAUUCAGGAUGUGCCAACACGGCCUGGGAUAAACACUGUGGUGCAAAAUUCACGAUUUUUGCCCAUUCACAACAUGAUAACCACUCUCAUGAAUGACCCAUACCAAGUCAGCCUCACAUGUGUGUGUGUCAGGCUGCAGCGUUGCUUCUUUGACAUAACAUAUAUUUUUUUGAAUGAAGAGUGCUAUCUUACUAGUCAGAGGGUUACGAAAACUUAUUGUAUAUUAUACACGUGUAAAUGUAUUUUCUAUAUAUUUGCUUCUAUUUGUGUACAGGUGUGUUCUAUUUUUCAGGACCUCUCCCAUUUCUGGGAAGGUUUUCAGCUAGGUCGGGGAUAGUGUCUUUGUUUACAUGUGUAACUACAGUAUUUCUUUUAAAAACACAAAACUAACAUUGUGCCAAGCUUCCUACCUGCACUUUCAAGCAGUACUUGUAUUAUAUCUUUAGCUAACCAGUAUAAUACUUCAGUAGACGCUGCAAUAGUUCAGAGGCUGGGGAGUGAUUUCCAGGAGGAAUGUCUGAAAGUACUGAAGGAUUCGAAGAGGUGUGAUCAUAUCUUGGGUUCUGCUGCAUUCAUGGUUGGCUGGGAAACCAAUUACUUUCUGUUCUUAUCAUUUCUACAUGGAUUCUAAUAUGAAGUGUUUCAUCACAUAAAUUAAAAAAACAAAACAGUGUUAAUCCAAUAGUAGCUGCCAAGAAACCGACUAAACUUGAUGUUACGUUCAUUUGUCAUAUUUUAUAUUUGUAUAUACAUAUUGCUACAACUGCCCCAUUAAAUGUAGGAUUUGCCACAUACUUGUUGUGACUGCAAAAACUAUAUAGCAUUUUUGAGUUCAUGAAAUCAUCAGGGAAAGAUGUUUAAAGAAAGAAUUGUGGGGGAAAAAUUGACCUUGUUAAAAAUGCAUACAUGAGUUUCGCACAAUUUUCGUAUUCAUAUUUCAACAUUAUAAAGUAUAGGCCUAAUUUGGGUUUAUUUCGACUUGGGUCUUACUGUCAGCCUUGACAUACACUGGCCUUGUCAGUCAACCCUCUGGUGCCAAUGGAAACAUGUAUUUGAUAGACUGCAAUGUUAGCAUCAAUUAGCUAAAAACACUAUGUGCUCAAAGAUCUGCUAGUAUAGCUUUCCAUUCUCAGGAAUAGUAGCCAAAGAAACACCAGUCCAACAGUUAUGGUGACUAGGAACACGUCAUCUUUGCUAAAAUGAAGUCCAAAGGGAUAAAGAUGCGUUAAAAUGUAUGCGUAUCAAGUCGAGCUGAGACUGGCGCCAGGACACAAAACUGCAGUCAAACAAAUGGUCACUUUCAGCCAAUUUCAAAAGACCCCUAUUUGUUUUACCUGACUUUGGAGCAGAUAUUAAAAUGUUUACAGUCUGGUGUAAAACAUGGUUUUGGUCUCUAUAGCAAACUUCCCUACUCAUGACAACAUCAAUUUACCCACUGUAAUGGUGACCCGAAAGGAAGUAAGAGAACAAGACCCAAGUUUUUAUAGACAAAAAUUAUGCUUUAAGCUUACAAAAUGAAGAUUGCGAUCUCUUUCAUCAAAAAUUGUACUUGUUGUUACCAAGUUUGUGUCAAUGUGACAUUGAAAAUGGUCAAAAUUGUAUACCAAGUCGAUGAUGAUUGUGUGAGACUGCUCUCUCAUUCUUACCACUUACUAAAUCUGAUUCAACUGAGAACAUUUUGACAUUCAUUCCUGUGUGUCAUACUAUGUGGUAAAACAUUAGCAGGUUUUACUUCAGUAAGUCUUGAAAAGCAUGUUUGCAUUGGUAGCAACACUCAUGAAAACCACAGGGAGCUGCCGGCUAAAACCAAUUGACUUUGCAUUUCUGAAGGACUUCUGGACAAGGAAAGAUAGAACUUGAAGCUAUGAAACACAUUUUAAAACAGGCUAUUGGUAGACAUAGGCAUACAUCCCCCUUCCUGCUUUUUACCUCUGUCUGAAAUCAAACUGAUACGUAAGGAAAUGCCUUACUGCUUUCUUGCCUUUUCAGUUUAUCUUCAAUGAUAGCCGAUGAUAGCGAUUUAUUAUAGCUAAGAGGGAGGAAAAUGAUUCCACUUGGCUGGUCAGAUUUGAUUCAGGAAACAGAGCAGUGCAGGCAAAAGACAGGGGGAAGGGUGCUUGUAAAAAAAAAAGAGUCUUAAACAGACAACAAAGACUAGACAUGCCUUUUUCACAACGAAUGAAUAUUUUUCAACUCCCGUUUCUGUCUCUUCAGCAGCCCGUGAAACCUAUGCUCCCAUCAGCACAAACAAGCUAUCAAUCAGCCAGGGUUUUCCUGUCAAGAUGAAGGAUGUGCCGUGCACUCAUUUGCAAGGACUGUGAUUCCUGUUUGCAUGUCAGAGAUACAGAGAGGAACCUAUUGACAUAUGGUUCUGAAUUAGAUAUCGGCUGAACAUCUCCAAGGCCGAGGUUUUGUUUAUUUUCCAUAUCAUUGGAAGCGUUCGCAAGAGGAGAGUAAUCAAUGUAUGGAUUACUCAGUUUGCCCUGGGGUGUCUCAUUAUGGUGCACACAUGUCCGCAUUAAUGUUACAUGUUGGUGAAUUUAAUUUCAAACAGAAGUCGAUAGGUUGCUCAAACAGCAGGGAGAAAGAUAAAUACAUGUUCUGACAACAAAAAAAGGAAAAAGUGUAUCUUUACAGUCCUAGAAGCGUAUACAACUAAAUCCACUCCGCUUCUCCUUAUUGUUCCAGAAAAAUCACAUACUGUGCGCUUACUGUAAAGCGGAUGGCUUGGACUCUCCUUUGGGCCAUGUUGUUACUUUUUUAUUCAAAAAAGCUAAGGCGCUGUCAGUGCGUAUCAAUCAAUGAAAAAAUUCUCACUUUGGUUGCAACAUCUCAAUUUUCCCAUAAUCCCCCUGUUCAAUGGAGUCUAGCUGUGUGACCCAAAUCUGACAUAUUUGACAUUGCACAAUGUCUUCAGAAUAGAGAGUUAGCCUGGAAUGAGUGACACGGCAAGGAAAUAUUGAUGCAUUGCUCCUCGAGAGUUGAUCAAAUCAAUUUGGACAUUGCUGUCCAAAAAAAAAAACACUACAUUUUCAGGGCUGAGGAAGUUGUACAAGUUUUUUGUUUCCUUUUUUAGGGAAUGGGGGGGGUCUUUUGACAUGUGGGCACACAAGUGGUCUGUUCAUCGAAGCCGACUUACAAUCACAAUCCAUCCCCACCAUGAAGAAGCUGACUCGAGUUGUGUUGUCGCCAUAAAAAUGAAGAGUUUGUACUUUGUGACUCUUACAUUUUUUAUAUUUGUGUUUAAUAUAUCAAUGAGUACCUCUGUUAACUUUUGUAUAAGACCUAUAGUAUAUACAAACACACAUGCACACACAACACACCUCCACAAAAGGGACUCCAGUCUGUCUCUGUGACGGCUAAAUGUUGUGUACAUUUUAUUUCGUGUCCUAUGAACCACAUCUCUUCCUUUUGUAGUUAUUGGUAAACGUUUCGAUUUCCAGGUGACUUUGAUUUGGUUACUCUUGUACUACUAAGCUCUGUAUUUGCAAGCACUGUAAAUGCGAUUCUCAUUGGAUUCGUCCUCUGUACAUUUAGUACUCUGAUGUUGCUAUUAAUAAAAUGUAAAAAAACA